GCAGCUUAACCGCGAUAAGUUUGACCCGCCUGGGGAGUACGGUCGCAAGAUUAAAACUCCAAAGGAAUUGAUCGGGGGCCCGCACAAGCGGUGGAGCAUGUGGUUUAAUUCGAUGCAACGCGAAGAACCUUACCAGCUCUUGACAUCCUCGGAACUUGUCAGAAAUGACUUGGUGCCUUGCGGGAACCGAGUGACAGGUGCUGCAUGGCUGUCGUCAGCUCGUGUCGUGAGGUGUUGGGUUAAGUGCCCGUAACGAGCGCAACCCUUGUGCCUUUGUUGACCAGCACGUAAUGGUGGGAACUCAAAGGAGACUGCCGGUGACAAACCGGAGGAAGGUGGGGAUGACGUCAAGUCAUCAUGGCCCUUAUCGAGCUGGGCUACACACGUGCUA
RNAcentral lists this ribosomal RNA (391 nucleotides) under uncultured bacterium. RNAcentral's name for it is "bacterial SSU rRNA". It matches the Rfam family "Bacterial small subunit ribosomal RNA", at positions 848 to 1227 of the family's 1533-position model. The record is from RNAcentral.